GAGUGAGCGGCAAGAGCUCAGAUUUGAAAUCGUGCUUUGCGGCACGAGUUGUAGAUUGCAGGUUGGAGUCUGUGUGGAAGGCGGUGUCCAAGUCCCUUGGAACAGGGCGCCCAGGAGGGUGAGAGCCCCGUGGGAUGCCGGCGGAAGCAGUGAGGCCCUUCUGACGAGUCGAGUUGUUUGGGAAUGCAGCUCCAAGCGGGUGGUAAAUUCCAUCUAAGGCUAAAUACUGGCGAGAGACCGAUAGCGAACAAGUACUGUGAAGGAAAGAUGAAAAGCACUUUGAAAAGAGAGUGAAACAGCACGUGAAAUUGUUGAAAGGGAAGGGUAUUGCGCCCGACAUGGGGAUUGCGCACCGCUGCCUCUCGUGGGCGGCGCUCUGGGCUUUCCCUGGGCCAGCAUCGGUUCUUGCUGCAGGAGAAGGGGUUCUGGAACGUGGCUCUUCGGAGUGUUAUAGCCAGGGCCAGAUGCUGCGUGCGGGGACCGAGGACUGCGGCCGUGUAGGUCACGGAUGCUGGCAGAACGGCGCAACACCGCCCGUCUUG
RNAcentral lists this ribosomal RNA (542 nucleotides) under Pichia kudriavzevii. RNAcentral describes it as "eukaryotic LSU rRNA". It matches the Rfam family "Eukaryotic large subunit ribosomal RNA", at positions 91 to 656 of the family's 3401-position model. Lineage: Eukaryota; Fungi; Ascomycota; Pichiomycetes; Pichiales; Pichiaceae. The record is from RNAcentral.